Papaver somniferum (opium poppy) is the source of this 128-nucleotide small nucleolar RNA. NCBI's taxonomy places the organism in Eukaryota, Viridiplantae, Streptophyta, Magnoliopsida, Ranunculales, Papaveraceae. The record is from RefSeq and is a predicted model, not a curated record.
AACCAAACUCGUCUAACUAUAAUGGUGUUCACAGUUGCAUAUAAAGUUGGCAGUAACAAUAAGCAAUUUCUCGUGUCUAUCAAAUGGUCUCUUAAUUUUGAAUUAGGCCUCGAACAACUUGAGGUGAU